CAUGCAGGAGGCGGCCGUUUGUGAAAGAAAACCCUCCAAAGCUCAGGUUUCCUAACAGCCGCUCUCUGGACGCUGUCACCCUCCAUGGAAAGCAGGGAAAGAGUCGAAUGGCAAGUGGCAGCACACCAACUUGCACGUGCCGGCUCGUCUACAGGAGGGCGUCUCCUCUGCGGCUGGGACAGGCAGAGCGGUCGGCUCAUUGAGUCCUCACCCUGUCAGCGACAUGGCGCCCAAGGAGCCUGAGCUCCACAUCUGCCCGCCCACAAGAAACCAAGAAGAAAUAAACCUUUUUGGUUUUGAUUCACCUCAAUCAAA
Myripristis murdjan (pinecone soldierfish) is the source of this 315-nucleotide long non-coding RNA. RefSeq lists it as uncharacterized. Lineage: Eukaryota; Metazoa; Chordata; Actinopteri; Holocentriformes; Holocentridae. The record is from RefSeq and is a predicted model, not a curated record. The transcript is spliced from 3 exons.